GGAGAGAAGAUGCUAAAUGCCAUGGCUUAUACAAUAUUCAAGUUACACAAAAAGCGCUUGCAGAGGCUCCAGUUAGAGGACCUGAGGGAGUUUCUUCAGGAGCAGCUGGCUGUUUCUUUCUUCCUGCCUGAUGACGUGGUGGUUGAACAGUUACAGGCUUCUAUGUCUGAACUACGAAGUAAAAAGCUGGACCAACCUCCACCAGCCAAAUCAGAG
Non-coding RNA from Labrus bergylta (ballan wrasse), 216 nucleotides. The record is from RefSeq and is a predicted model, not a curated record. NCBI's taxonomy places the organism in Eukaryota, Metazoa, Chordata, Actinopteri, Labriformes, Labridae.